UACGUAGGGGGCGAGCGUUGUCCGGAUUCAUUGGGCGUAAAGAGCUCGUAGGCGGCUUGGUUAGUUGGGUGUGAAACCUCCAGGCUUAACCUGGAGACGCCACUCAAUACUGCCAUGGCUAGAGUCCGGUAGGGGACCACGGAAUUCCUGGUGUAGCGGUGAAAUGCGCAGAUAUCAGGAGGAACACCGGUGGCGAAGGCGGUGGUCUGGGCCGGCACUGACGCUGAUGCGCGAAAGCUAGGGGAGCAAACAGG
RNAcentral lists this ribosomal RNA (254 nucleotides) under uncultured bacterium. Its description in RNAcentral is "partial 16S ribosomal RNA". It matches the Rfam family "Bacterial small subunit ribosomal RNA", at positions 524 to 776 of the family's 1533-position model. The record is from RNAcentral.